Non-coding RNA from Clostridium oryzae, 86 nucleotides. The record is from Rfam. Lineage: Bacteria; Bacillati; Bacillota; Clostridia; Eubacteriales; Clostridiaceae.
GAAAGCUGUAUACAUUGAGAGGUGUACGUACAGUUUGGAGGAAAGUGAGGGGGAAAACUGAAAGUUGCACCCUGAACUUAUCCUAC